This 497-nucleotide ribosomal RNA is filed under the name uncultured bacterium. RNAcentral's name for it is "partial 16S ribosomal RNA". It matches the Rfam family "Bacterial small subunit ribosomal RNA", at positions 28 to 507 of the family's 1533-position model. The record is from RNAcentral.
GAUGAACGCUGGCGCCGUGCCUAAUACAUGCAAGUCGAGCGAACAGACGAGGAGCUUGCUCCUCUGACGUUAGCGGCGGACGGGUGAGUAACACGUGGAUAACCUACCUAUAAGACUGGGAUAACUUCGGGAAACCGGAGCUAAUACCGGAUUAUAUAUUGAACCGCAUGGUUCCAUAGUGAAAGACGGUUUUGCUGUAACUUAUAGAUGGAUCCGCGCCGCAUUAGCUAGUUGGUAAGGUAACGGCUUACCAAGGCAACGAUGCGUAGCCGACCUGAGAGGGUGAUCGGCCACACUGGAACUGAGACACGGUCCAGACUCCUACGGGAGGCAGCAGUAGGGAAUCUUCCGCAAUGGGCGAAAGCCUGACGGAGCAACGCCGCGUGAGUGAUGAAGGUCUUCGGAUCGUAAAACUCUGUUAUUAGGGAAGAACAAAUGUGUAAGUAACUAUGCACGUCUUGACGGUACCUAAUCAGAAAGCCACGGCUAACUACGUG